RNAcentral lists this long non-coding RNA (407 nucleotides) under Ricinus communis (castor bean). RNAcentral describes it as "long non-coding RNA (RCOM_LNC002285)". Lineage: Eukaryota; Viridiplantae; Streptophyta; Magnoliopsida; Malpighiales; Euphorbiaceae. The record is from RNAcentral.
CAACAAUGUCAUCAGCCAGCUGAUACUCACUAAAAGCAUGAUGGCCACAUUCAUGGCCGAUGACCCAAAGACCAGUGAGAAUGCAGCCUUGGAAGAGCCAGUAAACCAGCCAAGCGACAUACGAGAGCGGAGAAGAGAUGUAAGGGAAGAAGUUGGUGGCGAUCGAGUAGAAAAGAAAACUUAAGCAGACAUCAUAGGCAACAUAGGAGAAUGAGCGCACAAAAGAGCGUUCAAAGCAAUGGGGUGGGAUGGCUCUCUUGAGGUCACCAAGUGUGAAAGGAGGCUUCGUGUGCGGCGCUCGCUUAAGGUGGCUGCUUCCUCCUUUCUUCUCACUGUUGUUGCUGGUUAUGACAGUAGACAUGCGACCACCACCUCCCAUUCUUAAGCUCUUUUUUAAGCACUUUCCU